CUGGCCAGAGACCGAUAGCGCACAAGUAGAGUGAUCGAAAGAUGAAAAGCACUUUGGAAAGAGAGUCAAACAGUACGUGAAAUUGUUGAAAGGGAAGCGCUUGGCACCAGACCUGCUGGCGGGCGAUCAACGGCCGUUCGCGCGGCCGUGCACUCGCCCGUCCGCAGGCCAGCAUCGGUCUAGGCGGUUGGAUAAAGGCCUUGGGAAUGUGGCUCCCCUCGGGGAGUGUUAUAGCCCUCGGUGGAAUACGGCCAGCCUGGACCGAGGACCGCGCCUCCGGGCUAGG
RNAcentral lists this ribosomal RNA (286 nucleotides) under Megalaria versicolor. RNAcentral describes it as "Lopezaria versicolor partial large subunit ribosomal RNA". It matches the Rfam family "Eukaryotic large subunit ribosomal RNA", at positions 323 to 611 of the family's 3401-position model. Lineage: Eukaryota; Fungi; Ascomycota; Lecanoromycetes; Lecanorales; Megalariaceae. The record is from RNAcentral.